RNAcentral lists this ribosomal RNA (318 nucleotides) under uncultured fungus. Its description in RNAcentral is "SSU rRNA". It matches the Rfam family "Eukaryotic small subunit ribosomal RNA", at positions 1381 to 1699 of the family's 1831-position model. Lineage: Eukaryota; Fungi. The record is from RNAcentral.
CCAGGCUAACUUUGGUUGGUCGCCGGCUUCUUAGAGAGACUAUCAACUCAAGUUGAUGGAAGUUUGAGGCAAUAACAGGUCUGUGAUGCCCUUAGAUGUUCUGGGCCGCACGCGCGCUACACUGACAGAGCCAACGAGUUCUUCACCUUGUUCGAAAGAAUUGGGUAAUCUUGUUAAACUCUGUCGUGCUGGGGAUAAAGCAUUGCAAUUAUUGCUUUUCAACGAGGAAUGCCUAGUAAGCGCGUGUCAUCAGCAUGCGUUGAUUACGUCCCUGACCUUUGUACACACCGCCCGUCGCUACUACCGAUUGAAUGGCUC